AUAAUCCCAGCUACUCAGGAGGCUGAGGCGGGAGAAUCGCUUGAACCCGGGAGGCAGAGGUUGCGUGAGCCGAGAUCACGCCAUUGCACUCCAGCCUGGGCAACAAGAGCAAAACUCCAUCUCAAAAAACAAAAAAACAAAAAACCAAAAAUUAGCUGGGUGGGGUGGUGGUGUGUGCCUGUAACUGCAGCUACACGAGAGGCUGAGGCACGAGAAUUGCUUGAACCUGAGAGGCAGACAUCACAGUGAGCCGAGACGGCGCCACUGCACUCUCGCCUGGGUGACAGUGAGACUGAGUCUCAAAAAAAAAAAAAAAAAAAAAAAGUGAUGAUGUUUGACCUACGGUUUCCCCUGAAGUGUGACAAAAUCUCACUUGAGUCUGCUAUCCCAACAGACAGACUCUGGACAGAGUGAGGCAUAUUAAGUAUGAGGCUCUUUAUGAAAUGGAGGGCCUAUGAGUGCCACCUUCUGGAGUAAAGGAUAAAACUUAAUGCAAUUUUGCCAGUGACCGGGAUGAAAAACAGAAGGCAUGCAUAUCAUAUUUGUGGACGGCAAGGAGUUAGUAGGAAUUGCAACAUUCUCAGUGUGCAGAAUGAGGAUUCAAAUAGUCAGGAAUGGUAAACUCCAGCUUAUUAAAUUUUAUUGAAUUGAAAUUCAAUAGUAAUAAGUCAGAUUCUGCCUUUGGGUUCAAAAAGUCAACUCUUCAUAGAUAAAGUAGGAAAGAUGUAGAAUUUUUAGAACUAGGGAGGCACUCUGCUGACAGCACCCUUCCCCUGCAUCAAGUUCUGUCUUAAGUGCCAAACUUUAAGGGCAUUAUCAACAAAUGAAUAUAUUCAGAGGAGUGAUCUGGAGGGUGAAGGGACCUAAAAUUUUGUCAUGUAGAAACUUCUGAAGAAUCAGCAUUAAGCCCAGAUAAUAAAGACUCAGGGAAAACAAAAUUAUAGUCUAGAUAUACUGUAUUAAUGGACUGAAGGGAGAAAAUUAGGGCCAGUGGAUGGAUACUGCUUGUAUUAAUUCAGAAUGUAGUAUCCCUCAGAGAUUUAAGGAAGGGGUGUUGUGCACUGGAAAAAAAUACUGGUUUCCAAGUCAGGCAGACCUUGUUUAAUUCCAGACUCUUGACAAAGUUUUAUGUCAGUCUUAGUUUUCUCACUUAAAAAUUGUAGUAAUAUGUAUUCUGCAAAGUUUGGAAACGUAAUGUAGCAAGGUCUGUAAAUCACUUUGCAGCACCUCACCUAAGAGCGUCUAUGGUUGAUUUUAAAUUGGGUAUUCUAGGUCAGGUUUGGCAUACUUUCUUUCUUUCUUUUUCUUUUCUUUUGAGGCAGAGUCUCACUCUGUUGCCUAGGCUAGAGUGCAGUGGCGCAAUCUCGGCUCACUGCAACCUCCACCUCCCGGGUUCAAACAAUUCUCCUGCCUCAGCCUCCCGAGUAGCUGGGAUUACAGGCACACAGCACCACGCCCGGCUAAUUUUUGUAUUUUUAGUAGAGAUGGGGUUUCACUAUGUUGGUCAGGCUGGUCUCGAACUCCUGACCUCAUGAUCCACCUGCCUCAGCCUCUCAAAGUGCUGGGAUUACAGGUGUGAGCCACCGUGCCCGGCUCAAGGGUUGGCAUACUUUCUGUAAAGGGCUAGAGAAUAAAUUUUUCAGGUUCUGCAGGUCUCUAUACAAUGAUACCACUCCAGUUCUAUUGGGAAAGCAUCCAUAGACAAUGAUCAUGGCUGUGUUCCAAUGAACCUUCUUUUGUGGACACUAAAAUGUGAAUUUUAUAUAAUUUUUGUGUGUUGUGAAAUAAUUAUCAAAUCUUUUUCAAGCAUUUAAAAAUGUAAAAACAGCUGGGCGUGGUGGCUCAUGCUUGUAAUCCUAGCACUCUGGGAGGCCAAGGCAGGUGAAUCACCUGAGGUCAGGAGUUCGAGACCAGCCUGGCCAAUAUGGUGAAACCCUGUCUCUACUAAAAAUACAAAAAUUAGCCAGGCGUGGUGGUGGGCGCCUGUAAUCCCAGCUACUCUGGAGGGUGAGGCAGGAGAAUUGCUUGAAUCUGGGAGGCGGAGUUUGCAGUGAGCUGAGUCCUCGCCAUUGCAUUCCAGCUUGGGCAACAGAGUGAGAUUACAUCUCAAAAAAAAAAAAAAAAAAAAAAGAAUCCCAGAAAUUAAAUGUUUUAUAUUUUUGCCACAAGAAAACACGUGCAAGUAUGAAACUUUUUGUAAGGUCCUCUGAGCUGGCUGCACUAUGGUCAAGCCACGGUGACAUUCCCCCACCCUUGUGAUAAUGUACUUUGUGAUACUCCUGUCCUUGUGAAUGUACUUUGUAACAUUCCUCCCCACCCUUGUGACAAUACAUCCUCCCUGCCCUUGUGACAAUACACCCUCCCUGCCCUUGUGAAUGUACUUUGUAACAUCCUCCCCACCCUUGAGAAUGUACUUUGUAAUAUCCAUCCCCUGCCUGUAAAAAAUUGCUCCUGACUACACCGCCUAUCCCAAACCUAUAAGAACCAAUGAUAAUCCCACCACCUUUUGCUGACCCCUUUCUCGGACUCAGCCCACUCACACACAAGUGAAUAAACAGCCAUGUUGCUCACACUAAGCCUGUUCAGGUGGUCUCUUAUGUGGACACGCAUAACACUUUUAUUAUUAUUAUUAUUAAAAAAGUAAUAAUAAAAAGAGACAGAGUUUUGCUCUUGUUGCCCAAGCUGGAGUGCAAUGGCGUGAUCUUGGCUUGCUGCAACCUCUGCCUCCUGGGUUCAAGCAGUUCUCCUGCAUCAGCCUCCCAAGUACCUGG
This 2771-nucleotide long non-coding RNA is filed under the name Homo sapiens (human). RNAcentral's name for it is "HSALNT0296185". Lineage: Eukaryota; Metazoa; Chordata; Mammalia; Primates; Hominidae. The record is from RNAcentral.